GUUUGGUUUAUCCUGUUGAUUGAUAUAUGCUGUUUCACGAGGUUUCGCGGAGUUUGGAGAAUCGUUGCAGCCUAAAGCGAGAAUCAGUGGGGAUUGUGGUGCGUUCCUUCUACUUAAAAGGCUCAUUCUUUGUCAAUCCGGCAGCUUAUAACAUGAUGGUCCUCCCUGUAUGAAGUUUACCAGAUCAUUCUUUGUGAAUCCGGAUGCUUACAAAACUGAUGAUCCUCCCUAUAUGAAGGGUACUGGUUAAAAAUAUUUAGUGAUUCGACGUGAGAAAGCGCUCAUUAGUUGUAAUCUGGCUGCUUACAAAACAUGAUGCUCCUCCCUCUGUGAAGAUUAAUGGUUAAGAUUUAUUGAGUGGAUGUGAAAGAGCGGAAAUUUACUCUUGGGCAUUUACCUUGUGAUUCUAUUCGUGAUGAAGCUGGCAACAUACACUCAAUCUCUGGCAGCAUACAAAAUGUGUCUGUCUUUACUGUCUAAAAAGGACGUAUAAGUGCGGAAUAUAUAUUAUUGUGGUUUACCUUUUGAGGGUCCUAUUCGUGAUGAAGCCGGCAACAUGCAAAGGGAGGUGUUUUCUAUUUGAAGAGAUCAAAGAUAUUAGAUGUGGAAGCCAAACUUUGGUGUUACACCAGUUCCCUUAGUUAGGUUGCAGCGGUUGAUCUUGAAACUUGACGAUGAUGUCUCCAAUCAUUAACUACAAUUGUUGGCAA
This is a long non-coding RNA of Capsella rubella, 710 nucleotides long. RefSeq lists it as uncharacterized. The record is from RefSeq and is a predicted model, not a curated record. The transcript has 9 exons. Lineage: Eukaryota; Viridiplantae; Streptophyta; Magnoliopsida; Brassicales; Brassicaceae.